This 352-nucleotide long non-coding RNA is filed under the name Bos indicus x Bos taurus (hybrid cattle). Its description in RNAcentral is "lncRNA (ENSBIXG00005029039.1)". Lineage: Eukaryota; Metazoa; Chordata; Mammalia; Artiodactyla; Bovidae. The record is from RNAcentral.
UUCAUAGUGUUACAGGAGCUGAGACUGCCGAGUGCUGAGCUGAGACUAGAAGGAAAGCGGAUCUUUCAGAGAGGAAGUCAACCCCAGAACCAGUGAGGACGCACAGGCCCAUGAAGAGUACCUGCAUUGUGGCAAGAUGCCCCUCCAGGUAGAUGCAGCAACGUUUAAGCACUUGACAGCCAGGAGGGAGAUCUGAAGAUUCUCAAGGAGAGCUUUCAGUACAGCGGCUGAGUUGUUUUCCAAGAACUCAGAGGUCCCCGAGGAUGUACUUGUAGGGGACAAGGAAGAUUGGUGGUCUCUGUACUCUGGGGGCUACCCCCAACUUUGAAUAGAUCAGUUAUGUUUCCCUUUG